GACGAACGCUGGCGGCGUGCUUAACACAUGCAAGUCGAACGGAAAGGCCCUGCUUGCAGGGUACUCGAGUGGCGAACGGGUGAGUAACACGUGGGUGAUCUGCCCUGCACUUCGGGAUAAGCCUGGGAAACUGGGUCUAAUACCGGAUAGGAGCCAUUUUUAGUGUGAUGGUUGGAAAGUUUUUUCGGUGUAGGAUGAGCUCGCGGCCUAUCAGCUUGUUGGUGGGGUAAUGGCCUACCAAGGCGGCGACGGGUAGCCGGCCUGAGAGGGUGGACGGCCACAUUGGGACUGAGAUACGGCCCAGACGCCUACGGGAGGCAGCAGUGGGGAAUAUUGCACAAUGGGCGCAAGCCUGAUGCAGCGACGCCGCGUGGGGGAUGACGGCCUUCGGGUUGUAAACUCCUUUCGCUAGGGACGAAGCUUUUUGCGACGGUACCUAGAUAAGAAGCACCGGCUAACUACGUG
Molecule: ribosomal RNA, 465 nt
Filed under: uncultured bacterium
Lineage: Bacteria
Description: partial 16S ribosomal RNA
Rfam family: Bacterial small subunit ribosomal RNA
Source: RNAcentral